This 512-nucleotide ribosomal RNA is filed under the name uncultured Chloroflexota bacterium. RNAcentral's name for it is "bacterial SSU rRNA". It matches the Rfam family "Bacterial small subunit ribosomal RNA", at positions 366 to 896 of the family's 1533-position model. Lineage: Bacteria; Bacillati; Chloroflexota. The record is from RNAcentral.
GCGACAAUGGCCGAAAGGCUGACGCAGCAACGCCGCGUGCGGGAUGACGGCCUUCGGGUUGUAAACCGCUUUUAGGGGUGAAGAGGAAGGACGGUAGCCCCUGAAGAAGUCUCGGCUAACUACGUGCCAGCAGCCGCGGUAAAACGUAGGAGGCGAGCGUUAUCCGGAUUUACUGGGUGUAAAGCGCGAGCAGGCGGUUUAUCAAGUGGUGUGUGAAAGCUCUCGGCUCAACCGGGGGAGGACGGACCAAACUGAUAAACUGGAGGUAGGUAGAGGCAGACGGAAUUCCGGGUGUAGUGGUGAAAUGCGUAGAGAUCCGGAGGAACACCAGUGGCGAAGGCGGUCUGCUGGGCCUGACCUGACGCUCAGACGCGAAAGCAUGGGGAGCGAACGGGAUUAGAAACCCCGGUAGUCCAUGCUGUAAACGAUGUGCACUAGGUGUGGCCUCGACAGAGGCUGUGCCGCAGCUAACGUGAUAAGUGCACCACCUGGGGACUACGGCCGCAAGGUUA